UGUAGCAAUACAAGGCAGACGGCUCAGUAACGCGUAGUCAACCUACCCUAUGGACGGGAAUAACCUCGGGAAACUGAGUAUAAUGCCCGAUAGAACACUAUACCUGGAAUGGUUUGUGUUCCAAAUGAUUUAUCGCCAUAGGAUGGGACUGCGGCCUAUCAGUUUGUUGGUGAGGUAAUGGCCCACCAAGACUAUUACAGGUACGGGCUCUGAGAGGAGUGGCCCGGAGAUGGGUACUGAGACACGGACCCAGGCCCUAUGGGGCGCAGCAGGCGAGAAAACUUUGCAAUGUGCGAAAGCACGACAAGGUUAAUCCGAGUGGUUUCUGCUAAAGGAACCUUUUGUCAGUCCUAGAAACACUAACGAAUAAGGGGUGGGCAAGUUCUGGUGUCAGCCGCCGCGGUAAAGCCAGCACCUCAAGUGGUCAGGAUGAUUAUUGGGCCUAAAGCAUCCGUAGCCGGCUCUGUAAGUUUUCGGUUAAAUCUGUACGCUUAACGUACAGGCUGCCGGGAAUACUGUAGAGCUAGGGAGUGGGAGAGGUAGACGGUACUCGGUAGGAAGGGGUAAAAUCCUUUGAUCUAUUGAUGACCACCUGUGGCGAAGGCGGUCUACCAGAACACGUCCGACGGUGAGGGAUGAAAGCUGGGGGAGCAAACCGGAUUAGAUACCCGGGUAGUCCCAGCUGUAAACUAUGCAAACUCAGUGAUGCAUUGGCUUGUGGCCAAUGCAGUGCUGCAGGGAAGCCGUUAAGUUUGCCGCCUGGGAAGUACGUACGCAAGUAUGAAACUUAAAGGAAUUGGCGGGGGAGCACCACAAGGGGUGAAGCCUGCGGUUCAAUUGGA
This 842-nucleotide ribosomal RNA is filed under the name uncultured archaeon. Its description in RNAcentral is "bacterial SSU rRNA". It matches the Rfam family "Archaeal small subunit ribosomal RNA", at positions 63 to 910 of the family's 1478-position model. The record is from RNAcentral.